GAUGAAGAACGUAGCGAAAUGCGAUAAGUAAUGUGAAUUGCAGAAUUCCGUGAAUCAUCGAAUCUUUGAACGCACAUUGCGCCCCCUGGUAUUCCGGGGGGCAUGCCUGUCCGAGCGUCAUUGCAACCUUCAAGCGCGGCUUGUGUGUUGGGUCUCGUCCCCCGUGGACGGGCCCGAAAGGCAGUGGCGGCGUCCCGACAUGGUGCCCGAGCGUAUGGGAAUCCUCUUCCGCUCGAAUCGGCCCAUGCGGCGCUGGUCGUAACCAAAUUUUUUACCGGUUGACCUCGGUUCAGGUAGGGAUACCCGCUGAACUUAAGCAUAUCAAUAAGCGGAGGA
This 336-nucleotide unclassified non-coding RNA is filed under the name soil metagenome. RNAcentral describes it as "partial contains 5.8S ribosomal RNA, internal transcribed spacer 2, and large subunit ribosomal RNA". The stretch from base 1 to 120 matches the Rfam family "5.8S ribosomal RNA", at positions 35 to 154 of the family's 154-position model. The record is from RNAcentral.